RNAcentral lists this ribosomal RNA (424 nucleotides) under uncultured bacterium. RNAcentral's name for it is "partial 16S ribosomal RNA". It matches the Rfam family "Bacterial small subunit ribosomal RNA", at positions 360 to 776 of the family's 1533-position model. The record is from RNAcentral.
AAUUUUGGACAAUGGGGGAAACCCUGAUCCAGCCAUCCCGCGUGUAUGAUGAAGGCCUUCGGGUUAUCAAGUACUUUUGGCAGAGAAGAAAAGGCAUCCCCUACUACGGGAUGCCGCUGACGGAACACGCAGAAUACGCACCGGCUAACUACGUGCGAGCAGCCGCGGUAAUACGUAGGGUGCAAGCGUUAAUCGGAAUUACUGGGCGUAAAGCGUGUGUAGGCGGUUCGGAAAGAAAGAUGUGAAAUCCCAGGGCUCAACCUUGGAACUGCAUUUUUAACUGCCGUGCUAGAGUAUGUCAGAGGGAGGUAGAAUUCCACGUGUAGCAGUGAAAUGCGUAGAUAUGUGGAGGAAUACCGAUGGCGAAGGCAGCCCCCUGGGAUAAUACUGACGCUCAGACACGAAAGCGUGGGGAGCAAACAGG